Molecule: non-coding RNA, 243 nt
Organism: Vicia faba (fava bean)
Lineage: Eukaryota; Viridiplantae; Streptophyta; Magnoliopsida; Fabales; Fabaceae
Source: the annotation of a GenBank genome assembly
AUGCUAAUUAUGCAGGAAAAUAAAGAUUAUGCCGAGUCUUCAGAGAGAGAGAGAGAGAGAAUGCAGAUGAGGGUUUUAGGAGUGCAGAGAAGAAGAGAGUCUUGGUUAUUUUUCUGUUAUAUUCGGUUGGAGUGUGCGGAUUUUGAACUGGUUUUGGCUUGGUAUGCAACUGGUUUAUGGACAAGAUACUUGAGAUGCUAUGGAAAGUUUUGGAUGUCGUAUUUUGGACAGAAAAUGGAUUAA